Molecule: non-coding RNA, 1342 nt
Organism: Pelobates cultripes (western spadefoot toad)
Lineage: Eukaryota; Metazoa; Chordata; Amphibia; Anura; Pelobatidae
Source: the annotation of a GenBank genome assembly
AUUGUGGAGAAUUCAAAAUUAAAUCAAAGUGAAUUUCAAAUGUAUGGCCAACAUAACCAAACUGAACAAUAUCCAAACUAAUUGCCUUGGAGAAUUUUUCAAGCUGGCAAGGCCUCCCCCUGCUUCAAAUAGCAAUAAGUGUCUUGGGAUAUCUGUUUACACAUUUCUGCAGGGUCUUUGCUACUUAGGCACGGUAUGGAUUUGUGUAUGAGCUGGUCACCUGUGCUCUCAAUAAUGUUCAUAUGCCAAAUGUCGCUUCCUCGAGGAAGUUUAUUUAUGCACAACAGACGAAAUGCAUAGGACUUGUUUUAUACAAAAUUUGACUACUUUGGGAUAGAAUCUCUGUGGGCAUAUAUGGAGAGAGAAUUCUGAGUACUUUGUGAGAGAUUUGUUCUGGGCUUAUACCUCAUUAUUUCAAGCCCCCUGUGGUAUCAUGGAGAUGCACCUGUUAAGCACAACAUUGCCCAAAUCAUGUGAGUGUAUCUGUUAUCACUGCAGCUUCAAUAGUUCAAACAGUAUCACGCUAUGGUUAUAAUGUAUACCUCUUUUUAUAAAAGCUGAAACCCAAUUUCAGUUGUAUAUCAUUGAUUUAAAGGAGGCUUGAGAGGAGACGCCCAGGAGUUAGAGGCCGCAAGGUUAGGGUCAAAGCUAUAUGAGCUAAGUAUUUGUAUUAUUGUAAACAUUGAAUGCCUUUUUGCACAGAUAUAUGUGAACGUACCUUCAUACUGUGCAGGUCUUACUAAUGGAGAUUGUAGUAAUAUAUGAAGGCAAACUUUAAACUCCUGAAGCCUCUAUCUGUCAUAUCUAUAUAUGUUGAAAAUCCACACAGAGAUCUGUGAGUAUUGUGCAGAAUAAAAGCAAUUAGUUUGUUCUUGAUCCCCAUGCUAAAAGUUGCCAGUCUUCCCUUGUAGGCUUAAAAAAUGCUCUUUGAAUUCCUUGCAAUACUCGCUUAAGUGAAUAACCCGGCUACACAUGCAACGUCUCAUGUAUCCUUACAUGCACUAUUUCGUCUGAGCUUCCAGUGCACAAUAUAGAUGUGAAGAUCCCCAUUUAAGAGAGUUGCUUCAUUUUAUUCCUAUGGGGUCUUUGUAUACAACUUGUCUUACAAAAUGGGAGGAAAGGAAAGUACCCAACCUUUAACAAAACAAAUCAAUACUUCUGGCAGUGCAAUGGAACAUGAAAAAUUCUAAACUCCAAAUUGUACAUUCCACUGAAUGUACAGCAUAUACAUUAUUUAGGGCUAAUAAACAAAUACAUGCAAUUAAUUUAAAAAAAAAUGGUAUAUAAUGUAAGUGUGUAAAUAUUUUCAAAUUUCUGUGUAAUACGAUGUUCUUUAAUAAAU